ACAGCAGUUGGACAUCCAUGCGGGCAUACCAUCUCUGGCUCGGUCUUCUCGUUGGCGUUCAGGUCGGCAUCGCGUUCAGGGUCGGUCUUGGAGUAAAGACCGCAAUGUUUGCAGGGUUGAUGUGGAGCAGAGUCCCGCUUGCCCCAUUCGGGGUGGUGGUAAGACUAAGAGAACGCAGGUGCGCUUCUAAUUCUUGUAGGCUCCGUGCCUUGUAGGUAGUCC
Molecule: non-coding RNA, 222 nt
Organism: Pelobates cultripes (western spadefoot toad)
Lineage: Eukaryota; Metazoa; Chordata; Amphibia; Anura; Pelobatidae
Source: the annotation of a GenBank genome assembly